CCUACGGGUGGCUGCAGUGGGGAAUAUUGGACAAUGGGCGAAAGCCUGAUCCAGCCAUGCCGCGUGUGUGAAGAAGGCCUUCGGGUUGUAAAGCACUUUCAGUGGGGAAGAAAGCCUUGGGGCUAAUACCCUCGAGGAAGGACAUCACCCACAGAAGAAGCACCGGCUAACUCCGUGCCAGCAGCCGCGGUAAUACGGAGGGUGCGAGCGUUAAUCGGAAUUACUGGGCGUAAAGCGCGCGUAGGCGGUCUGAUAAGCCGGUUGUGAAAGCCCCGGGCUCAACCUGGGAACGGCAUCCGGAACUGUCAGGCUAGAGUGCAGGAGAGGAAGGUAGAAUUCCCGGUGUAGCGGUGAAAUGCGUAGAGAUCGGGAGGAAUACCAGUGGCGAAGGCGGCCUUCUGGACUGGCACUGACGCUGAGGUGCGAAAGCGUGGGUAGCAAACAGGAUUAGAUACCCGAGUAGUC
RNAcentral lists this ribosomal RNA (465 nucleotides) under Vreelandella stevensii. Its description in RNAcentral is "partial 16S ribosomal RNA". It matches the Rfam family "Bacterial small subunit ribosomal RNA", at positions 338 to 795 of the family's 1533-position model. The record is from RNAcentral. Lineage: Bacteria; Pseudomonadati; Pseudomonadota; Gammaproteobacteria; Oceanospirillales; Halomonadaceae.